RNAcentral lists this long non-coding RNA (680 nucleotides) under Capra hircus (goat). RNAcentral describes it as "lncRNA (ENSCHIG00000002270.1)". Lineage: Eukaryota; Metazoa; Chordata; Mammalia; Artiodactyla; Bovidae. The record is from RNAcentral.
CAGCUGGGUGAGGCCACAUGACCAAGUUCUGACCAAUGAGAUGUAAGCAGAAUGGUGGGUGGGACUUCCGGGAGAACUCUACAGUUAAGGAGGAAAAUACUUCUUGCAGCAAAUGAAACUUAAACCUAUGGUCUCUUCAGUUGCUUUCACGUAUAACCAUAGGACUAAAAAGUUUCCUUAGCCAGUGACUGUAUCUUUUUGACUCCAAAGAACCUGCAGCUACUUCUGUAGCGUUGGGCUUCAACUAGUGAGUGCACAUUUGGCCAGUUUAAGCCCAGUGAACAUCCAGUGGAGGGUGCACGUUCACCACUUUCAGCCACGCUGGAAAGUUCCCAUCACGGCAUUCCCAUCCAUGCCUUGGAUUUAUGGAACCACAGUUCUUGUCACAAAUAUCUAUGUUCUGAGCAACUGUUCAGUGUGUCUUACCCACUAAUAGGCAGAUGGUACCCAGCAGGUGAGCAGUGAGAUCAGCGUCCCUGCCCGCAUGGAGUUUACAAGCCUUUUAGGCAGAAAAUUACAUCAAUAAUAUUGUGCAAAGGAGUGAUACAGCCAGCAUUUAAUUUGUGGAUGACAAAAUUUUCCAUCAUGUGAUAGCUUUUUUAAAAAUCUGAUAAUGCACAGAGCAUAAAUUCUGCAGAGAAAAGGGUGUUUUAACUGUGCUUCUGAAUAGUAGUCAAGAG